CAACAGGACAAUAGGGACACUAACAGCUAUGGUACAGAGUGGGAACAGCAAUUCGACUGUUGAGCUACUGAAUCCUGACAAGGCUCACACAAAAGGUCGCCCACGAUUGAUGACAAUACAAGAACGCAUAAAAACCAAGACAUUCUACAAGUGCAGCCACUGCCAUGAUCCAACUCACACAAAAAGGAAAUGCACUAAUCUGGAUAAGGUGUACGAAUUCCCGAAAAAGAAGAGAUCGAGGAAAGCAAACCAGACAAAAACAACUGAUGCAGGGCGAAACUAUUCUGGGAGUGGAAACAACAAAGAGACCAUCACCAGCAACUUACCUACCGAUAUGAAUAUUCAAGUGCAUCAAUGAAGUUGCUCCUGCUGUGCCACUCAAUCUCCCUCUGCUCGUACCCUGCGUGGAUGGAGAAAAGGAGUAGAGAAGACUAUUUAGAUUGGUGAUUGCAUGAACUUCGUGUAAAAAAAUAUUGAGAGAGAAAACAUGUCUACAUAUUCUGGAUUAGCUUAUUUGAACUGCAGAAUAAGCACAAAUGUGUGUAUUUUAGACUAAA
Long non-coding RNA from Hordeum vulgare subsp. vulgare (domesticated barley), 557 nucleotides. RefSeq lists it as uncharacterized. Lineage: Eukaryota; Viridiplantae; Streptophyta; Magnoliopsida; Poales; Poaceae. The transcript has 2 exons. The record is from RefSeq and is a predicted model, not a curated record.